RNAcentral lists this ribosomal RNA (253 nucleotides) under uncultured bacterium. RNAcentral describes it as "partial 16S ribosomal RNA". It matches the Rfam family "Bacterial small subunit ribosomal RNA", at positions 524 to 776 of the family's 1533-position model. The record is from RNAcentral.
UACGGAGGGUGCAAGCGUUAUCCGGAUUUACUGGGUUUAAAGGGUGUGUAGGCGGACUUUUAAGUCAGCGGUGAAAUCUCCGGGCUCAACCCGGAAACUGCCAUUGAUACUAUUUGUCUUGAAUGUUGUUGAGGUGGGCGGAACGGGUCAUGUAGCGGUGAAAUGCAUAGAUAUGACCCGGAACACCGAUUGCGAAGGUAGCCCACUAAGCAACGAUUGACGCUGAGGCACGAAAGCGUGGGGAUCAAACAGG